UACGUAGGGGGCUAGCGUUGUCCGGAUUUAUUGGGCGUAAAGAGCGUGUAGGCGGCCAGGUAGGUCUGCUGUGAAAACUCGAGGCUCAACCUCGAGACGUCGGCGGAAACCAUCUGGCUAGAGUCCGGAAGAGGAGAGUGGAAUUCCUGGUGUAGCGGUGAAAUGCGCAGAUAUCAGGAGGAACACCGGUGGCGAAGGCGGGUCCCUGGGCCGAUACUGACGCUGAGGAGCGAAAGCGUGGGGAGCGAACAGG
Molecule: ribosomal RNA, 253 nt
Filed under: uncultured bacterium
Lineage: Bacteria
Description: partial 16S ribosomal RNA
Rfam family: Bacterial small subunit ribosomal RNA
Source: RNAcentral